AGAGCGAACGCUGGCGGCAUGCUUAACACAUGCAAGUCGCACGGGCAGGGGAAACCCUGUCAGUGGCGGACGGGUGAGUAACGCGUAGGUAUCUAUCCUUGGGUGGGGGACAACGGCUGGAAACGGCUGCUAAUACCGCAUGAUGACCGAGGUCUAAAGGCGCAAGUCGCCUGGGGAGGAGCCUGCGUACGAUUAGCUUGUUGGUGGGGUAAAGGCCUACCAAGGCUACGAUCGUUAGCUGGUCUGAGAGGAUGAUCAGCCACAUUGGGACUGAGACACGGCCCAAACUCCUACGGGAGGCAGCAGUGGGGAAUAUUGGACAAUGGGCGCAAGCCUGAUCCAGCAAUGCCGCGUGUGUGAAGAAGGUCUUCGGAUUGUAAAGUCCGUUUCGGCGGGACGAUGAUGACGGUACCCGCAGAAGAAGCUCCGGCUAACUUCGUGCCAGCAGCCGC
Molecule: ribosomal RNA, 452 nt
Filed under: uncultured bacterium
Lineage: Bacteria
Description: SSU rRNA
Rfam family: Bacterial small subunit ribosomal RNA
Source: RNAcentral